CUUUCUUUGCUGGCGACCGGUGCACGGGUGAGUAACACGUAUCCAACCUGCCUUUACUCGGGGAUAGCUUUCGAAAGAAAGAUUAAUACCCGAUAGCAUAAUGAUUCCGCAUGGUUUCAUUAUUAAAGGAUUCCGGUAAAGGAUGGGGAUGCGUUCCAUUAGGUUGUUGGUGAGGUAACGGCUCACCAAGCCUUCGAUGGAUAGGGGUUCUGAGAGGAAGGUCCCCCACAUUGGAACUGAGACACGGUCCAA
Molecule: ribosomal RNA, 252 nt
Filed under: uncultured bacterium
Lineage: Bacteria
Description: partial 16S ribosomal RNA
Rfam family: Bacterial small subunit ribosomal RNA
Source: RNAcentral